RNAcentral lists this ribosomal RNA (460 nucleotides) under uncultured bacterium. Its description in RNAcentral is "partial 16S ribosomal RNA". It matches the Rfam family "Bacterial small subunit ribosomal RNA", at positions 338 to 795 of the family's 1533-position model. The record is from RNAcentral.
CCUACGGGCGGCAGCAGUGAGGAAUAUUGGUCAAUGGGCGAGAGCCUGAACCAGCCAAGUCGCGUGAAGGAUGACGGCCCUACGGGUUGUAAACUUCUUUUGUCAGGGAGCAAUUGGGUCCACGCGUGGGCUUAGCGAGAGUACCUGAAGAAAAAGCAUCGGCUAACUCCGUGCCAGCAGCCGCGGUAAUACGGAGGAUGCGAGCUUUAUCCGGAUUUAUUGGGUUUAAAGGGUGCUAAGGCGGAAUAUCAAGUCAGUGGUAAAAAUUCGGGGCUCAACCCCGUCGUGCCGUUGAAACUGAUGGUCUUGAGUGGGCGUGAGGUAUGCGGAAUGCGUGGUGUAGCGGUGAAAUGCAUAGAUAUCACGCAGAACUCCGAUUGCGAAGGCAGCAUACCGGCGCCCAACUGACGCUGAAGCACGAAAGCGUGGGUAUCGAACAGGAUUAGAUACCCUGGUAGUC